Molecule: long non-coding RNA, 557 nt
Organism: Triticum aestivum (bread wheat)
Lineage: Eukaryota; Viridiplantae; Streptophyta; Magnoliopsida; Poales; Poaceae
Exons: 2
Source: RefSeq, a predicted model, not a curated record
CAUGGGCUCUCCGGCAGCUUCACACACGUUUAUGAUCUUCUGGUGAUUUGAUUCACAAGCGGGGCAGCAUGCAACUCAUCUGCUAUGAACGCGCAAAGGAUUUUAUCGUAUUGGUAAGUGAGCUGAUCGUUGAUUCCAUCUGGCGGAAGCGAGCCGGUUGUUUCCUCUGACAUCUCAAUCGGUGGCAAGCGAUCCAUGGCGAAUUGGCGCUGGCUAAGUACAGCUAAGGUUUCCAUCAAUUUUUUAUUUUUUUUGCGGAUGCAUCGAACACCGGCCGGCCAACCAGCGUGCGUCUUCCGAAUGUUGACGUGGCAUACUGGUGGCGAUGACGCCUCCCGUCGCAUGGAUUACUGCAACUUCUCUCAUGGACGUCGACGACCACAAUCGUGUUGCUUCGACAGUGUUUCUUUAUUUUCUGUCUAUGAGCCACAUACUAUGGACACCAGAUCUAGAUGCUUGGAAUUGAAUUGUACACUUUUUCGUGGAUUAGACUCCUUUUAAUUCAUGUAUUUCCUUAAGAAACUAUAUACUCCUUUUGUAGUAGUAUAUACCCAUCA